AGCAACAACCACCACUGCCUCAGAUCCCCUUUCUGUGCUCUUCAAUCGCCAUGAUUACCUAACUUCGUUGUUGAAGAAUGAAUUCAGAUAAGUACCAAGCUUUCUUCAAUUGAUUGCAAGACAAAUCAAUCAACCCCAUAACAAACUCAAAUGUCUGCAUCUUAGAUUCUAUUUUCAGAUCACAUUUGAAAACCCAUGAAUCCAUCGUUGGAGUUGCUGCUGUUAGAAGAGGUCCUGAACUCCACGGGCAAUAAUUGUACCAGUGAGAAACUUUUCCUUUUUCUUUCGACAAAAAAUUGAAGUUUCGCUAAAUCGAAAACCUAAGUUCACUGAAUCUAAAUCCCAAUUAUUGUUUUGUUCAAAGCGGUGUUGGUGAUUUCGGUAGAGUGGUGCUGCACCAGUUGAACUGGUGCGAAAAAAAAAGAUACAGAAAAAGUAAUGGUGUUGUCUUUGUCGUGCUGUGAAGAAGGAUGGGAAGAAGACAAUAUUAAGUAAAAUCUUAGAUAGAAGGCUAUAAUAGUAAAUUAGGCUUUUAAUUUAUUUUUAAAUUGGUUAUGUUUUUAUAAAUCAACUUUUAACCUGGUCAAUGGUAAUCAACGUCCAGUUCAGGUACCAAGCCCUAACGUUGGAUAAAUAUUAGACCAAGCCCUAACUUUGGUUUAAUAAUAGUGUUGGAUAAAUGUUAGACCAGUCCAGGGACUUUGGGUUGGAAUACAAAUUGGGACGGGUCUCCAGACAAUCGUUCUUUUAAUUAUGUUUUGGCGUGCAGACUGUGACAAAGAGGUACAAUUAACCAAAGAUAGUCUCACAGGAUGUAGAUAUAGGCGAGGAACAAAAGUUGAUUAGCUGAAUCAACUUUGAGAUCCUUUUAAUGCGUCCCUUUUAACUUCUCAUUCUUUGGUUUUGCUAUUUUUAGGGUAGUAAAUAAUGAUUUCUUGCAACACUUAUAACUUGUAAGUCAAAUUAUGAUUUAAGCAUAAUUUCCCAAGUGGGGGGAGAGAGUGCAAAAGAUAUGUCCUACCAUUAAUUUAUGCCAAGUGAUUUUUUUAUU
Molecule: long non-coding RNA, 1051 nt
Organism: Papaver somniferum (opium poppy)
Lineage: Eukaryota; Viridiplantae; Streptophyta; Magnoliopsida; Ranunculales; Papaveraceae
Exons: 3
Source: RefSeq, a predicted model, not a curated record